GCACCAGUGGUCUAGUGGUAGAAUAGUACCCUGUUACGGUACAGACCCGGGUCGAUUCCCGGCUGGUGCA
Ipomoea nil (Japanese morning glory) is the source of this 70-nucleotide transfer RNA. It matches the Rfam family "tRNA". Rfam says of the family: Transfer RNA (tRNA) molecules are approximately 80 nucleotides in length. Their secondary structure includes four short double-helical elements and three loops (D, anti-codon, and T loops). Further hydrogen bonds mediate the characteristic L-shaped molecular structure. tRNAs have two regions of fundamental functional importance: the anti-codon, which is responsible for specific mRNA codon recognition, and the 3' end, to which the tRNAs corresponding amino acid is attached (by aminoacyl-tRNA synthetases). tRNAs cope with the degeneracy of the genetic code in two manners: having more than one tRNA (with a specific anti-codon) for a particular amino acid; and 'wobble' base-pairing, i.e. permitting non-standard base-pairing at the 3rd anti-codon position. The record is from Rfam. NCBI's taxonomy places the organism in Eukaryota, Viridiplantae, Streptophyta, Magnoliopsida, Solanales, Convolvulaceae.